Molecule: ribosomal RNA, 583 nt
Filed under: uncultured bacterium
Lineage: Bacteria
Description: partial 16S ribosomal RNA
Rfam family: Bacterial small subunit ribosomal RNA
Source: RNAcentral
UGGGGAAUUUUGGACAAUGGGCGAAAGCCUGAUCCAGCAAUGCCGCGUGUGUGAAGAAGGCCUUCGGGUUGUAAAGCACUUUCGUCCGGAAAGAAAUCCUUGGCUCUAAUACAGUCGGGGGAUGACGGUACCGGAAGAAUAAGCACCGGCUAACUACGUGCCAGCAGCCGCGGUAAUACGUAGGGUGCAAGCGUUAAUCGGAAUUACUGGGCGUAAAGCGUGCGCAGGCGGUUUGCUAAGACCGAUGUGAAAUCCCCGGGCUCAACCUGGGAACUGCAUUGGUGACUGGCAGGCUAGAGUAUGGCAGAGGGGGGUAGAAUUCCACGUGUAGCAGUGAAAUGCGUAGAGAUGUGGAGGAAUACCGAUGGCGAAGGCAGCCCCCUGGGCCAAUACUGACGCUCAUGCACGAAAGCGUGGGGAGCAAACAGGAUUAGAUACCCUGGUAGUCCACGCCCUAAACGAUGUCAACUAGUUGUUGGGGAUUCAUUUCCUUAGUAACGUAGCUAACGCGUGAAGUUGACCGCCUGGGGAGUACGGUCGCAAGAUUAAAACUCAAAUGGAAUUGACGGGGUCAUAGCUGUUU